Molecule: unclassified non-coding RNA, 117 nt
Organism: Macaca mulatta (Rhesus monkey)
Lineage: Eukaryota; Metazoa; Chordata; Mammalia; Primates; Cercopithecidae
Rfam family: Metazoan signal recognition particle RNA
About the family: The signal recognition particle (SRP) is a universally conserved ribonucleoprotein. It is involved in the co-translational targeting of proteins to membranes.
Source: Ensembl
GCCGGGUGUGGUGGCUCACACCUGUAAUCCCAGCACUUUGGGAGGCUGAGGUGGGAGGAUCACCUGAGGCUGGGAGUUUGAGACCAGCCUGACCAACAUGGAGAAAUCCCAUCUCUA